CCAACUGCGACACGCGGUGAUCGCGCGCCUGCUACGGGGAAAGGAGGACGCCGUCCGCCUAGGAUUGACGGCGCGCAGGUCGAGAAGUUACAGGCGCUGCUCGGCGGCCAUGCCGGCGGCCGCUUGGGGUUUAGCUUUGCUGACCCUCCCUUCUCGCGGGGUUCCUUUUUCGCUUCGCCGGGACGCCACGCCUGGCUACUCAGGUUUGCUUCGCCGGCAUCCGCCAUACGGCCGAGCCGAGCCGCCGAGUACGCGCCACUCUACGCACACCAUCAGGCGGUGAUCCAGGCCUCCGGCGGCACCGAAUUGUUUCUUAAUCAGCAGGCGACGCGGCUGCUCCUCUCCAUAUUUGCUGGUUCAAUCCAAUCAUCCACGUAUUUUACUCUUGUCACCGUCGCAGGCUCGCAGCCCGCAGCCCCGAUCGUCCAACGCCGCCGAGAUCGAGCGCACACGAUGCGCUCCGGCAGCGUCGCCGUGCUCCACGUCGCGCUGCGUCGCCGGCCUCCUUGCCAACGCUUCCUUCACUCUUUCGGCCUCACGCACGCUCUGCGUCGGCGUGGAGCCUCGGCCAGGAGGUGGCCUCGUUGCACUAGGUUAGGGUCGCCGACAUCGUCGGCAUCGGCCCGUCCAUGACGGUCAGACCGCUUCGCCACCGAGAUCGAGCGCACGCUGCGCCCCGGCGGCGUCGCCGUGCUCCGAUCCACGUCGCGCUGCAUCGCCGGCCUUCUUGCCAACGGCGUUACCAUCCCGGGCCUCCCCUUCCUCGUUGGCGACCAUGGCUGGGGUAGCGUCCUUCUUGUUCUUGGCCGAGGCGGCACGUCCCCAUCCUCGGCAGUCAUGGCUGUGGCCACGGCUGCAGCCACGGGGACCUCGGCGUCAGCAUCCUUGCAGGGCUCACCGUUUAUUGCAGGGGCGACGCGUUCCGGUCCUCGACGGCGGCGGUGGUUGGGGCACGGGAUCCACGCUCGCCAUGGACUCCAGCGCUCGCCGUUUGUGGCCAAGGCGGGCGGCUGCUGCCCCUGGUUGUACACGAGUGCGGCUUGUUCCAGUUUCAGAUGGACCCGGAGGCCGUGGCCGCACUGCUAAGGUCGAUCUGCACUGAACAAUGAGUUAUGUUCUGUUGACAUCCAUCGAGGCAGUGGUGGAGAACAUCAAGAAGGAAGCCUACCAAACAAGGACGGUGAGAUACAUAAUUAAUAUUACUGGAAUACGAAUUGGCUGCGUUGGAAGAAAAGAGGGUACGACUGUACAAGUAGCAAGAACCAGAUGGAGAAUUAAACCAGAUUGGAGGAGGUAUGCUAUGUUCAUUGUGAUCACUGACAUUUUCUUAGCCUGACACAUCUCAUUCAACUUUUCAUUUCAAGCAUACAUUAGCACUUAUAAGCUUAAAUAUGAAGUACAUAGAAUUAGAAAAAAAUGUUUAUUUCACCUCCAAACCUUGCUUUGGAGCUGCAAAUUGUACUCUAAUAUGAUGUUGUUUGACGUGCAAUUAUGCUUCCAAUACUCAUUGUCCUGACAUGAAUUUGGUUCCAUCUUCAAUCUAGGCACCCUUGAUUAACUGCUCUAUUCUAGCUGACUGCUCGGCAGUGGCAGCGAUAGCACUCAGGGACCUAUUGGCUUUUAGGUUAUGUACCAUUAUAAUUGCAUCAGCAGCUUGGCUCUCUCUCUCUCUCUGAUUUUUAGGAGCAAGCCCACCACCGCAGGGAUAUUCAAAUAUCAGCUUACGCAGGUAAGCAUCAUAGGACCAGCGAGAUUUCAAAUGUCAGGUAUGUGGAAUGCUAUUUCUCUCUUUGAUGCAACGAAAUUAAACUAAAAUACUAUUUGCCAAGUUUCUAUUUGUUGAAGAUUUUGUGACAGAGCUGUCAGAAUCCUAAGCUUACUUGAUAUAUUCAGCGGAACUGAUUUAACUUGGGGUUUGAUGCACUUAAUCUUUGGUAACUUCAAGUCAUAUACUCCCUCCCUCCGUCCCAGAAAACAAGUCAUCCUAAGAAUUUUAGAACAGAUUAACAAGAAUUUAAAAUGACCACAUUUGCCCCCAUUUAUUAUCCAUAUUUGACAGUAAUUGAUAUUUACAUGCAUAUGCACCUUUCAAUUAGGGUAGGGUGACUUGUUUUUUGGGAUAAAUUUUGAAUCCUAGAAAAAUAACUUAUUUUUUGGGACGGAGGGAGUACUCAUGCUUCGAUUAAAUGAGAACUAUAAUUAUGACAAGCUUGCUUGGAGGUCAUGGACUCUUAAAUAAGCUGCGUGAGAGUACCUCGAGAAACCUGGAUAUCUAAUGAGUUUAAUUGGUCAGUUAGAGAGCAGCUAAAUUUUAGAGUCACUUUGAAGGUAUUGAACCAGUUAAUUCAUAAGCACGUUGAAUAGUACGAGAUCAAAGAUAUGCCCAAACCAGAUUUUGUUGUUUGUUGAGGCACAACACAUCGAUCUAUACACUAUUAUCGACCCAUAGCCUUCACUUAUUGCUACAUUUUUUAUCUUUUUGUUCAGUAUUGCCUUUAAAAGGUGCAAUCUCUUUGUGCUUCACCAGUAUAUUUUCAUACUGAACUUUUGUACUUUUCUAGAUGGAUGAAUGUGCAACAUCUAAGAUCAUUUGCAACAGAUGAACUCAUCAAGGCUUUUGAAGAUUGGUGGAAGGACAUCGGCAUUCUCCAGGAGUCUGAAAGUGGUUUUGCAAAGUGUGCCUAAAGCUUUAGUGUGUUGUGCUGAAAAUGGACAGCUCACAAAUGGAAGGGUAAGUUUUAUUGGGACAGAUGAAGAGAUGUGCUGGAGAGAGGAAGAACAUAAAAACUAUGGAGUGAGUUGCUUGGCUUGGAUGUUUUACCUUUGUAGAUGUUAAAUCUGUACAUUUGGAAAGACUAAAUGUUUUUUAUUCAUCCUUGAUAAAAGGAAAAAUAGUGGAGUUUAACUUG
Panicum virgatum (switchgrass) is the source of this 2909-nucleotide long non-coding RNA. RefSeq lists it as uncharacterized. The record is from RefSeq and is a predicted model, not a curated record. The transcript is spliced from 4 exons. NCBI's taxonomy places the organism in Eukaryota, Viridiplantae, Streptophyta, Magnoliopsida, Poales, Poaceae.